This 598-nucleotide long non-coding RNA is filed under the name Phoenix dactylifera (date palm). Its description in RNAcentral is "long non-coding RNA (PDAC_LNC020922)". Lineage: Eukaryota; Viridiplantae; Streptophyta; Magnoliopsida; Arecales; Arecaceae. The record is from RNAcentral.
GCAGUGGCUUAUAGUAUGUAUAUUUUAGAAAAAUUAUUACUUUUAGAUAGAGAAUUCCAGCAUUCCUAGAAAUGUUGUAAAAGGGCAAGGUUAUCUAGGUACUCGAGUCAAUUUGAUAUGGUUAAUAGUUGCUUACGAUAUAAUAAAGUCAACUAGAACAAUGAAAAAAUGAUUUAAUUUUUCCAAGUUGGAUUUAGUGUGCCUUCUGACGGGAUGCUGCUCACUAGCUGCUUAGACCAUCUUCCAGAAAUUUGAUUGUUUGAAUAUUUUUUCCCUUAUUUCAUUUGUAACGUUGUAUACUUUCAUUUUUAUUUUUUAAGGUUCGAAAUUGGAUAAAAUAAAUAAUUUAGCCAUCCUAGGAGUUCUCUUUGCAUCUAUCUAGCUAAUCCUGUUGUGAUUGCUGAGAACUUUUAUGAGCUUAGUGAGGUACAUAUUCUGAUGCAACAUGACAGUGAUGAAAGUACAUGAUGAGUGCAUGGUGUGCAUGGAGAUUUUGUUUGAUUAGAUUCAAGGGAUGUGUUGCUGUCCAUUUUUGUAUAUUUGUUCUUUUUUAAAAAAUUCUGGUAAAAAAGGUAAGAUCAUAUACUAGUGAAGAUAA